Tirmania nivea is the source of this 112-nucleotide non-coding RNA. The record is from the annotation of a GenBank genome assembly. NCBI's taxonomy places the organism in Eukaryota, Fungi, Ascomycota, Pezizomycetes, Pezizales, Pezizaceae.
GCUCGCAUGGCUUAGUUGGUAAAGCGCGUCACUAGUAUUGCACCUACCGCUCGGCGUAGGUGGCUGGAUUAUUUAUGACGAGACCCUGUGUUCGAAAUCACAGUUGUGAGCA